Molecule: ribosomal RNA, 1444 nt
Filed under: metagenome
Description: bacterial SSU rRNA
Rfam family: Bacterial small subunit ribosomal RNA
Source: RNAcentral
CGGCUAGAUUUAGGUUAGCGGCAAAAGGGUGAGUAACACGUUGGUAACCUACCUCGAGGAGGAGGAUAGCCUCAUGAAAGUGAGGGUAAUACUUCAUACUAUCCCAGUUUUAUUAGAUUGGGAUCAAAGGUGGCCUCUGUAUAUGCUGCCGCCUUGAGAGGGGCCUGCGUCCUAUCAGGUUGUUGGUGGGGUAAUGGCCUACCAAGCCGACGACGGGUAGCUGGCAUUAGCGUGUGGUCAGCCACACCGGGACUGAGACACUGCCCGGACUCCUACGGGAGGCUGCAGUCGAGGAUCUUUUCCAAUGGGGGAAACCCUGAGAAUGCGACGUCGCGUGGAGGAUGAAGCGUUUCGGCGUGUAAACUCCUUUUAUCAGAGAGGAAUGUUUCGAGGUUAAUAGCCUUGGUAUUUGACUGUAUCUGUUGAAUAAGCCACGGCUAACUCCGUGCCAGCAGCCGCGGCAAUACGGGGGUGGCAAGCGUUACUCGGUUUGACUGGGUGUAAAGGGUCCGUAGGCGGCCUGAUAAGUAGAAAGUGAAAUCCUUCGGCUCAACCGAAGAACUGCUUUCUAAACUGUCAGGCUUGAGGUUGGAAGAGGAGAACGGAACUGCCAGUGUAAGGGUGAAAUCUGUGGAUAUUGGCAGGAACGCCCGUGACGAAGGUGGUUCUCUGGUCCAAACCUAACGCUGAGGGACGAAAGCUAGGGGAGCGAACAGGAUUAGAUACCCUGGUAGUCCUAGCUGUAAACGAUGGGCACUAGGUGUUUCUGGCUUAGCCAGGAGUGUCGAAGCUAACGCGAUAAGUGCCCCACCUGGGGACUACGGCCGCAAGGCUAAAACUCAAAGGAAUUGACGGGGGCCCGCACAAGCGGUGGAACACGUGGUUUAAUUCGAUGCUACGCGAGGAACCUUACCAGGGUUUGACAUGCUGGAAGUAACCGCCUGAAAGGGUGGGUGACCUGUAACCAAUCGGGAACCAGCACAGGUGCUGCAUGGCUGUCGUCAGCUCGUGCCGUGAGGUGUUACCUUAAGUGGUAAAACGAGCGCAACCCUCGUUCUUAGUUGCCAUCGUCCUGGUGUUAUGCCGGGAGCUGGGCACUCUAAGGAGACUGCCCACGUUAAGUGGGAGGAAGGCGAGGACGACGUCAAGUCCGCAUGGCCCUUAUGUCCUGCGCGACACACGUGUUACAAUGGUACGUACAACGGGAGGCUAAGCCGCGAGGUGGAGCAAAUCCUUAAAAGCGUGCCUCAGUUCGGAUCGAGGCUUGCAAUUCAGCCUCGUGAAGCUGGAAUCGCUAGUAAUGGCGCAUCAGAACGGCGCCGUGAAUACGUUCCCGGGCCUUGUACACACCGCCCGUCAAGCGCUGAAAGUGAGGAGCGCCCGAAUUCUGACGCAAGUCGGAACACGGUGAGUUUCAUGAUUGGCGCUAAGUCGUAACAAGGUA